GUAUCAUUAUCAUUAUCAUUAUAUUGAUAGCUGUGCAAUAAUUUCCAGCAUGGGAGGUGAUUGUGACGAGACAACUAGGUCAGGACGACGUGAAGAUGUUGUCGCACAUCACUGCAACGUUUUCUGUGGCGCUGUGUGUGAAGUCUGAAGGGUCCGCUGUGUGCCAAAUCACUGACACACACAUCAUGCAUUUGGUAGGUAUCACAAAGAACUUUGAUUUGCAUACUCACUGCACCUCUCAAGGAUCGGUUUUGUGCUGUAUGGAAGCAUCUGCACGGCGGCUUCUCGUGUAAUCAUUCAGUCAUCUCUCUUUUCCUUUUGUCUCCUUCUCAGGAGAAACAUAAAGCUGUGGACUUGAACCUGACAGGGCAACUAUGCAACACAUGUCUCCAGGUGAAGAGGCUCGAUGUGAAGUAUGCAGCCACAGUCCUUCACUGUCUUGAGCAAUGCGAAGAAUCCCCGUACGUCAGACCUGUCGUCAUCAGACAACCCUCUUGGGACUUGACUUGGGUUGUUGUACCUGCGGGCGUUUGCCUCUCUGGCAUCAUUACUAUCACUCUGGUGCUGCACGUACUGUUAACCGUGUAUGAGAGGAGGAAACUAAAAAGAAAUGGAGGCUAUAUCUCUGAAAAGCAAAUAGAUCCUGCUUUUGACUGCGUGGUCCCUGUAUUACAAUCUCAACCUGCUGUCCACGGAGGGGUCCUCAUACCUGAUUCACCAAAGUGUGGGAACACGGAGAAGACCAAUUUACUCUCUGACUGAGCGAAGAGCAGCGCUCCCGUCAAAAGCAUUACUUGUAAUGUGAUGUAUACAACUGUACAAACCAAAUGUGUUCUCUGUUAAAUGCAGCGUUCAAUGUUGGGACAGAUAUUACAAAUGUUAUAUAUAUUACUGGAUCUUUGCUGGUUGGUGUACUUGUUGUAUUUGAUGUUGUCUGGGAGAAAGCUAACAUGUAUAUUGUCAUUUUUUUUUAAAGUUCAAAUUCAGCUUGCAGCAACAGUUGGAUCCUAACUAAUAUUUAUAUUUUCAAUAAAAAUAUAAAAGCGAAACAUGAAAAAAACUACUUUUUUACAUGACAGAUGUGAAAAAGCAAA
This 1094-nucleotide long non-coding RNA is filed under the name Cottoperca gobio. Its description in RNAcentral is "lncRNA (ENSCGOG00000021581.1)". The record is from RNAcentral. Lineage: Eukaryota; Metazoa; Chordata; Actinopteri; Perciformes; Bovichtidae.